RNAcentral lists this ribosomal RNA (501 nucleotides) under uncultured bacterium. Its description in RNAcentral is "partial 16S ribosomal RNA". It matches the Rfam family "Bacterial small subunit ribosomal RNA", at positions 30 to 523 of the family's 1533-position model. The record is from RNAcentral.
AUUGAACGCUGGCGGCAGGCUUAACACAUGCAAGUCGAGCGGGGGAAGGUAGCUUGCUACCGGACCUAGCGGCGGACGGGUGAGUAAUGCUUAGGAAUCUGCCUAUUAGUGGGGGACAACAUCUCGAAAGGGAUGCUAAUACCGCAUACGUCCUACGGGAGAAAGCAGGGGAUCUUCGGACCUUGCGCUAAUAGAUGAGCCUAAGUCGGAUUAGCUAGUUGGUGGGGUAAAGGCCUACCAAGGCGACGAUCUGUAGCGGGUCUGAGAGGAUGAUCCGCCACACGGGGACUGAGACACGGCCCAGACUCCUACGGGAGGCAGCAGUGGGGAAUAUUGGACAAUGGGGGGAACCCUGAUCUAGCCAUGCCGGGUGUGUGAAGAAGGCCUUAUGGUUGUAAAGCACUUUAAGCGAGGAGGAGGCUACUCUAGUUAAUACCUAGGGAUAGUGGACGUUACUCGCAGAAUAAGCACCGGCUAACUCUGUGCCAGCAGCCGCAGUAA